GGUUGGUCCGAGUAUAGUCGUGUUUACAACUAAUUAAUCACAACCAGUUACAGAUUCCUUUGUUCCUUCUCCAAUCCCACUGCUUCACCUGACCAGUUUUAA
Molecule: Y RNA, 102 nt
Filed under: Propithecus coquereli (Coquerel's sifaka)
Lineage: Eukaryota; Metazoa; Chordata; Mammalia; Primates; Indriidae
Description: Y RNA (ENSPCOG00000003591.1)
Rfam family: Y RNA
About the family: Y RNAs are components of the Ro ribonucleoprotein particle (Ro RNP), in association with Ro60 and La proteins.
Source: Rfam by way of RNAcentral